This 429-nucleotide ribosomal RNA is filed under the name Bacteroidota bacterium. RNAcentral's name for it is "Bacteroidetes bacterium partial 16S ribosomal RNA". It matches the Rfam family "Bacterial small subunit ribosomal RNA", at positions 355 to 776 of the family's 1533-position model. The record is from RNAcentral. Lineage: Bacteria; Pseudomonadati; Bacteroidota.
UAGGGAAUCUUCCGCAAUGGACGCAAGUCUGACGGAGCAACGCCGCGUGAGUGAAGAAGGAUUUCGGUUCGUAAAACUCUGUUGUUAGAGAAGAACAGCGCAUAGAGUAACUGUUAUGCGUGUGACGGUAUCUAACCAGAAAGCCACGGCUAACUACGUGCCAGCAGCCGCGGUAAUACGUAGGUGGCAAGCGUUGUCCGGAUUUAUUGGGCGUAAAGCGAGCGCAGGCGGUCAAUUAAGUCUGAUGUGAAAGCCCCCGGCUCAACCGGGGAGGGUCAUUGGAAACUGGAUGACUUGAGUGCAGAAGAGGAGAGUGGAAUUCCAUGUGUAGCGGUGAAAUGCGUAUAUAUAUGGAGGAACACCAGUGGCGAAGGCGACUCUCUGGUCUGUAACUGACGCUGAGGCUCGAAAGCGUGGGUAGCAAACAGG